UGACAACAGCCUCGAUCUCACCUUGUUU
This 28-nucleotide small RNA is filed under the name Arabidopsis thaliana (thale cress). RNAcentral describes it as "ATSL087450". The record is from RNAcentral. Lineage: Eukaryota; Viridiplantae; Streptophyta; Magnoliopsida; Brassicales; Brassicaceae.